AUUGAACGCUGGCGGCAGGCCUAACACAUGCAAGUCGAGCGGAUGAAGGGAGCUUGCUCCUGGAUUCAGCGGCGGACGGGUGAGUAAUGCCUAGGAAUCUGCCUGGUAGUGGGGGAUAACGUCCGGAAACGGGCGCUAAUACCGCAUACGUCCUGAGUGAGAAAGUGGGGGAUCUUCGGACCUCACGCUAUCAGAUGAGCCUAGGUCGGAUUAGCUAGUUGGUGUGGUAAAGGCCUACCAAGGCGACGAUCCGUAACUGGUCUGAGAGGAUGAUCAGUCACACUGGAAGUGAGAAACGGUCCAGACUCCUACGGGAGGCAGCAGUGGGGAAUAUUGGACAAUGGGCGAAAGCCUGAUCCAGCCAUGCCGCGUGUGUGAAGAAGGUCUUCGGCUUGUAAAGCACUUUAAGUUGGGAGGAAGGGAAGUAAGUUAAUCCCUUGCUGUUUUGACGUUACCAACAGAAUAAGCACCGGCUAACUUCGUG
This 484-nucleotide ribosomal RNA is filed under the name uncultured bacterium. RNAcentral's name for it is "partial 16S ribosomal RNA". It matches the Rfam family "Bacterial small subunit ribosomal RNA", at positions 30 to 507 of the family's 1533-position model. The record is from RNAcentral.